Molecule: ribosomal RNA, 460 nt
Filed under: uncultured bacterium
Lineage: Bacteria
Description: partial 16S ribosomal RNA
Rfam family: Bacterial small subunit ribosomal RNA
Source: RNAcentral
CCUACGGGCGGCAGCAGUGAGGAAUAUUGGUCAAUGGGCGUAAGCCUGAACCAGCCAAGUCGCGUGAGGGAUGAAGGUACUAAGGAUCGUAAACCUCUUUUAUCAGGGAAUAAAGACUGGGACGUGUCCCGUUUUGUAUGUACCUUCUGAAUAAGGAUCGGCUAACUCCGUGCCAGCAGCCGCGGUAAUACGGAGGAUCCGAGCGUUAUCCGGAUUUAUUGGGUUUAAAGGGUUCGUAGGCGGCCCUUGAAGGCAGCUGUGAAAGUCUGUGGCUCAACCAUAGACGUGCCGUUGAAACUGGGAGGCUUGAGUAUGUUUGAGGCAGGCGGAAUGCGUGGUGUAGCGGUGAAAUGCUUAGAUAUCACGCAGAACCCCGAUUGCGAAGGCAGCCUGCCAAGCCAUGACUGACGCUGAGGCACGAAAGCGUGGGGAUCAAACAGGAUUAGAUACCCCGGUAGUC